CUCAAAUAUCUGAGUGGAGGUUCUGUUUGGGCUGCAUAAGACGAGCACAAGGCCAGAAUUACAGAGCGAAGUAUAAGGUGCACAGUACAUUCACAUGAGAGGAGAGGAUCAUGUAAGCAAAUUU
Molecule: long non-coding RNA, 124 nt
Organism: Thalassophryne amazonica
Lineage: Eukaryota; Metazoa; Chordata; Actinopteri; Batrachoidiformes; Batrachoididae
Exons: 4
Source: RefSeq, a predicted model, not a curated record